Molecule: ribosomal RNA, 523 nt
Filed under: uncultured bacterium
Lineage: Bacteria
Description: bacterial SSU rRNA
Rfam family: Bacterial small subunit ribosomal RNA
Source: RNAcentral
UGGGGAAUCUUGCGCAAUGGGCGAAAGCCUGACGCAGCCAUGCCGCGUGGAUGAUGAAGGUCUUAGGAUUGUAAAAUCCUUUCACCGGGGACGAUAAUGACGGUACCCGGAGAAGAAGCCCCGGCUAACUUCGUGCCAGCAGCCGCGGUAAUACGAAGGGGGCUAGCGUUGCUCGGAAUUACUGGGCGUAAAGGGAGCGUAGGCGGGUCGUUAAGUUGGGGGUGAAAKCCCGGGGCUCAACCUCGGAAAUGCCUUCAAUACUGGCGACCUUGAGUGUGGGAGAGGUGAGUGGAACUCCGAGUGUAGAGGUGAAAUUCGUAGAUAUUCGGAAGAACACCAGUGGCGAAGGCGACUCACUGGCCCAUUACUGACGCUGAGGCUCGAAAGCGUGGGGAGCAAACAGGAUUAGAUACCCUGGUAGUCCACGCCGUAAACGAUGAGUGCUAGUUGUCGGCAUGCAUGCAUGUCGGUGACGCAGCUAACGCAUUAAGCACUCCGCCUGGGGAGUACGGUCGCAAGAUUA